GAGAAUUAAGUUGCCUAAAAAGGAUUCAACUGCCGUGAUCACUACCUUUUAUUUGAUUUCUGAUACCGGGACUACUCGAGAUGAAAUUGACUUUGAAUUUUUAGGUGGCAAUCUUAAUCAACCUCCUAUAUUGCACACAAACAUUUAUAUUAAUGGGCAAGAUUUUCAUGAUUACACACUUCUUUUGAAUGAAAAACACAUAGUAUUUUUUGUGGAUGGCACACCUAUAAGAGUGUUCAAGAAUAGCAAAGAUAAAGGAGGAAGUUAUCGAACACAAGCAAUGAAGGUUUAUGCAACAAU
Long non-coding RNA from Trifolium pratense (red clover), 300 nucleotides. RefSeq lists it as uncharacterized. NCBI's taxonomy places the organism in Eukaryota, Viridiplantae, Streptophyta, Magnoliopsida, Fabales, Fabaceae. The transcript has 3 exons. The record is from RefSeq and is a predicted model, not a curated record.